RNAcentral lists this transfer RNA (77 nucleotides) under Clostridiales bacterium. Its description in RNAcentral is "tRNA-Pro". It matches the Rfam family "tRNA". From Rfam's summary of the family: Transfer RNA (tRNA) molecules are approximately 80 nucleotides in length. Their secondary structure includes four short double-helical elements and three loops (D, anti-codon, and T loops). Further hydrogen bonds mediate the characteristic L-shaped molecular structure. tRNAs have two regions of fundamental functional importance: the anti-codon, which is responsible for specific mRNA codon recognition, and the 3' end, to which the tRNAs corresponding amino acid is attached (by aminoacyl-tRNA synthetases). tRNAs cope with the degeneracy of the genetic code in two manners: having more than one tRNA (with a specific anti-codon) for a particular amino acid; and 'wobble' base-pairing, i.e. permitting non-standard base-pairing at the 3rd anti-codon position. The record is from RNAcentral. Lineage: Bacteria; Bacillati; Bacillota; Clostridia; Eubacteriales.
CCGGGUGUGGCGCAGUUUGGUAGCGCGCUUGAAUGGGGUUCAAGAGGCCCAGAGUUCGAAUCUCUGCACUCGGACCA